Molecule: ribosomal RNA, 253 nt
Filed under: uncultured bacterium
Lineage: Bacteria
Description: partial 16S ribosomal RNA
Rfam family: Bacterial small subunit ribosomal RNA
Source: RNAcentral
GACAGAGGAUGCAAGCGUUAUCCGGAAUGAUUGGGCGUAAAGCGUCUGUAGGUGGCUUUUUAAGUCCGCCGUCAAAUCCCAGGGCUCAACCCUGGACAGGCGGUGGAAACUACCAAGCUGGAGUACGGUAGGGGCAGAGGGAAUUUCCGGUGUAGCGGUGAAAUGCGUAGAGAUCGGGAAGAACACCAAUGGCGAAAGCACUCUGCUGGGCCGAAACUGACACUGAGAGACGAAAGCUAGGGGAGCGAAUGGG